ACUCGUUCCCAUGCCGAACACGAUCGUUAAGCUCUUCAGCGCCGAUGGUAGUUGGGGGUUUCCCCCUGUGAGAGUAGGACGUUGCUAGGU
RNAcentral lists this ribosomal RNA (90 nucleotides) under Anaerobacillus alkaliphilus. The record is from RNAcentral. Lineage: Bacteria; Bacillati; Bacillota; Bacilli; Caryophanales; Bacillaceae.